AGAAAUAUUAUUAUUUUUAUUAAUUUUUUUUUAAUUUUAAUUAAAGUUUUAUUUAUUUAUUUUUUUUUUUUAGUAUUUAUUUUGAAUGAAAAUUUUAUUUUAUAGUUUAUUUGUACUGUGAAGGAUAUAUUUAUUUUUUUUAUAGUAGAUAUUUGUCGUACCUUUUGUAUCAGGGUUGAUUUAAUAUAUUUUAUUUAUUUAUUAUUCUCGAAUUUAUUUGAUCUAAUUUAUUAUGUUAUUUGGUGUAUUAUAACCAUUAUUAAUUAUAAUUUAGUUAUGAUAUGUUAUUCGCAAAUUUUGAUAUCUAGUUUUCUUAUAAAUGAAUUUAAUUCAUCUAUAUUUUUUUAAUUAAAUUUUUUUAAUUAAUUAUAAAUUUAUAGUAAUAUUUUGGUGGAUUAGCUCCUAAAUGUUUUUAUAAUUUUAUUUUUUUCAAUAAUUUAUAGGUUUUAAAUUAUCCAUUAUUUUAGUAUGUUAUAAUUUAUUAUUGUUAUUUUAUUAUUUAUUUUAAUUUAAUAAUUUAUUUGAAUGUUAUAUUUAAUUUUUUAUUAUAUGAAAUAAUGAUUUAAUUAGUAUAUUUUUUUUAUUUUUAUAACUAUUCUGUUAUGUAUUUUAAAGGAACUAGGCAAUAUUAUUUGUUCGCCUGUUUAUCAAAAACAUCUUCUCUUGAUAUUAAUUUGAGAUUUUACCUGCCCAAUGAUUUUUUAAUGGCCGCAGUAUUUUGACUGUGCAAAGGUAGCAUAAUCAUUAGUUUUUUAAUUGAUAACUUGUAUGAAUGGUUUGACGAAACAUUAACUGUCUCUAUUAUAUUAUUAGAAAUUAAAAUUUGAGUUAAAAUGCUUAAAUUUUGUUAUUGGACGAGAAGACCCUAUAGAUCUUUAUUAUUAUAUUAUUAAUUAUUUUAGUUUAUUUUUUUUUUAAUUUUUAUUUAAUUUUGUUGGGGUGACUUGAAGAUAUUAUUAACUCUUUAUUAUUAUUUACAUUAAUUUAUGUUAAAUUGACCUUAUUUUAUUGUUAUAAGAUUAAGAUACCUUAGGGAUAACAGCGUAAUUUAUUUUGAGAGUUCAUAUUGACAAAUUAGAUUGCGACCUCGAUGUUGGAUUAAGAUAAAUUUUAGGUGUAGUCGCUUAUUAUUGUUAGGUCUGUUCGACCUUUAAAUUCUUACAUGAUCUGAGUUCAAACCGGCGUGAGCCAGGUUGGUUUCUAUCCAUAAUUAUAUUUAUCAUAUUAGUACGAGAGGACCAUUUGAUUCAAAAAUUUUGUUAAUUUAAUUAUUAU
Molecule: ribosomal RNA, 1275 nt
Filed under: Phraortes sp. Iriomote Island
Lineage: Eukaryota; Metazoa; Arthropoda; Insecta; Phasmatodea; Lonchodidae
Description: l-rRNA
Rfam family: Bacterial large subunit ribosomal RNA (bases 1035-1195)
Source: RNAcentral